Molecule: ribosomal RNA, 446 nt
Filed under: uncultured bacterium
Lineage: Bacteria
Description: bacterial SSU rRNA
Rfam family: Bacterial small subunit ribosomal RNA
Source: RNAcentral
UUCCAGACUCCUACGGGAGGCAGCAGUGGGGAAUAUUGCACAAUGGGGGAAACCCUGAUGCAGCGACGCCGCGUGAGUGAAGAAGUAUUUCGGUAUGUAAAGCUCUAUCAGCAGGGAAGAAAAUGACGGUACCUGACUAAGAAGCCCCGGCUAACUACGUGCCAGCAGCCGCGGUAAUACGUAGGUGGCAAGCGUUGUCCGGAUUUACUGGGUGUAAAGGGCGUGUAGCCGGGCCGGCAAGUCAGAUGUGAAAUCCCAAGGCUCAACCUUGGAACUGCAUUUGAAACUGUUGGUCUUGAGUAUCGGAGAGGCAGGCGGAAUUCCUAGUGUAGCGGUGAAAUGCGUAGAUAUUAGGAGGAACACCAGUGGCGAAGGCGGCCUGCUGGACGACAACUGACGGUGAGGCGCGAAAGCGUGGGGAGCAAACAGGAUUAGAUACCCCUGUA